AGAACGAACGCUGGCGGCAGGCUUAACACAUGCAAGUCGAACGCUCGUGAGCGAUCACGGGAGUGGCAGACGGGUGAGUAACGCGUGGGAACAUACCCUCCGGUUCGGAAUAACCCAGGGAAACUUGGGCUAAUACCGGAUACGCCCCCGGAUUUAAUCCGGGGGGAAAGGUUUAUAUGCCGGAGGAUUGGCCCGCGUCCGAUUAGCUAGUUGGUGAGGUAACGGCUCACCAAGGCGACGAUCGGUAGCUGGUCUGAGAGGAUGAUCAGCCACAUUGGGACUGAGACACGGCCCAAACUCCUACGGGAGGCAGCAGUGGGGAAUAUUGGACAAUGGGCGCAAGCCUGAUCCAGCCAUGCCGCGUGAGUGAUGACGGCCUUAGGGUUGUAAAGCUCUUUCGCUCGGGACGAUAAUGACGGUACCGAGAUAAGAAGCCCCGGCUAACUUCGUGCCAGCAGCCGCGGUAAUACGAAGGGGGCUAGCGUUGUUCGGAAUUACUGGGCGUAAAGCGCGUGUAGGCGGGUCUUUAAGUCAGGGGUGAAAUGCCAAGGCUCAACCUUGGAACUGCCUUUGAUACUGGAGAUCUUGAGUCCGGGAGAGGUGAGUGGAACUGCGAGUGUAGAGGUGAAAUUCGUAGAUAUUCGCAAGAACACCAGUGGCGAAGGCGGCUCACUGGCCCGGAACUGACGCUGAGACGCGAAAGCGUGGGGAGCAAACAGGAUUAGAUACCCUGGUAGUCCACGCUGUAAACGAUGGAUGCUAGCCGUUGGGGAGCUUGCUCUUCAGUGGCGCAGCUAACGCUUUAAGCAUCCCGCCUGGGGAGUACGGUCGCAAGAUUAAA
This 841-nucleotide ribosomal RNA is filed under the name uncultured bacterium. RNAcentral's name for it is "bacterial SSU rRNA". It matches the Rfam family "Bacterial small subunit ribosomal RNA", at positions 26 to 898 of the family's 1533-position model. The record is from RNAcentral.